This 253-nucleotide ribosomal RNA is filed under the name uncultured bacterium. RNAcentral's name for it is "partial 16S ribosomal RNA". It matches the Rfam family "Bacterial small subunit ribosomal RNA", at positions 524 to 776 of the family's 1533-position model. The record is from RNAcentral.
UACAGAGGGGGCAAGCGUUGUUCGGAAUUACUGGGCGUAAAGCGCGCGUAGGCGGCUUUGCAAGGCGGGUGUGAAAUCCCCAGGCUUAACCUGGGAACUGCAUUCGAGACUGCAUUGCUAGAGUAUGGGAGAGGGAAGUGGAAUUUCCGGUGUAGCGGUGAAAUGCGUAGAUAUCGGAAGGAACAUCAGUGGCGAAAGCGGCUACCUGGCCUGAUACUGACACUGAGGCACGAAAGCGUGGGGAGCAAACAGG